GGCAAGAGAUGGUGAAGUGAGACUUGAGAAGAAUGUCUAAGAAUUGAAGUGGCUGUUCGGGGGAAUGGGGUGAGGAGCUAAGGAUUCCUGGAAGGACUGUGCCUGAGGACAACACUGGCUGUACAUGUUGAGGAGGUCAGAGCCUCUGUCUCCCUGGGUCCUAAACUGGUGAACUAGAGCAGACUCUUCCCACAUCAGCCACACUACCAGUUGGACUUGAUAUGAAUGAGAGAUAAACAUUAUGGAAAGAUUUUGUCAUGGAGAGGAGAUGCUUUUCCUUCAAUUCAUGAUGGCCAAAUUAGGA
Long non-coding RNA from Callithrix jacchus (white-tufted-ear marmoset), 304 nucleotides. Lineage: Eukaryota; Metazoa; Chordata; Mammalia; Primates; Cebidae. The record is from Ensembl.